RNAcentral lists this non-coding RNA (28 nucleotides) under Mus musculus (house mouse). Lineage: Eukaryota; Metazoa; Chordata; Mammalia; Rodentia; Muridae. The record is from RNAcentral.
CGCAUUAGCCAGUGUUUACUUCCAGUCC